This 373-nucleotide ribosomal RNA is filed under the name uncultured organism. RNAcentral's name for it is "partial 16S ribosomal RNA". It matches the Rfam family "Bacterial small subunit ribosomal RNA", at positions 527 to 896 of the family's 1533-position model. The record is from RNAcentral.
GGAGGGUGCGAACGUUGCUCGGAAUUAUUGGGCGUAAAGCGCGUGUAGGCGGUUUGUUAAGUCUCGUGUGAAAGCCCUCGGCUCAACCGAGGAACUGCGCUAGAAACUGGCAAGCUAGAGUACGGGAGAGGGUAGCGGAAUUCCCGGUGUAGAGGUGAAAUUCGUAGAUAUCGGGAGGAACACCAGUGGCGAAGGCGGCUACCUGGACCGAUACUGACGCUGAGACGCGAAAGCGUGGGUAGCAAACAGGAUUAGAUACCCUGGUAGUCCACGCCGUAAACGAUGAGUGCUAGAUGUCGCGGGUUUUGACCCCCUGCGGUGUCGUAGCUAACGCGUUAAGCACUCCGCCUGGGGGAGUACGGCCGCAAGGCUA